RNAcentral lists this transfer RNA (85 nucleotides) under Rosistilla ulvae. Its description in RNAcentral is "Planctomycetes bacterium EC9 tRNA-Ser". It matches the Rfam family "tRNA". From Rfam's summary of the family: Transfer RNA (tRNA) molecules are approximately 80 nucleotides in length. The record is from RNAcentral. RNAcentral also lists the same sequence under 2 other names. Lineage: Bacteria; Pseudomonadati; Planctomycetota; Planctomycetia; Pirellulales; Pirellulaceae.
GCGGGCGUGGCGGAAUUGGCAGACGCGCAAGAUUCAGGUUCUUGUUCUCGCAAGGGAGUGGAGGUUCGAUUCCUCUCGCCCGCAC